This is a long non-coding RNA of Bombus pascuorum, 5512 nucleotides long. RefSeq lists it as uncharacterized. The transcript is spliced from 9 exons. The record is from RefSeq and is a predicted model, not a curated record. Lineage: Eukaryota; Metazoa; Arthropoda; Insecta; Hymenoptera; Apidae.
AUUUUCUGGAACAAAUUUGAAAAUACCAGAAAAUUCAAGUUUCCGCAUAUUAUAAAGCCUAUCGUUUAGAGUUUAGCAGAUUCCACGGGGAAUUUUCUAUGUGUCUAGGAAAUGGAGGAAAAACAUCAGCGUAUUACUCACAAAGAGAAACGUUUCCUCUUUUAACCGAUUACGAAACGAAGAAAGAAGGCGGUUCUAAAUUUACAUUGGUUCAUUUUGCAUCCUCGUCGACGAGGUGAACGCGCUCUUCGACCAGCGACAUCUCGCCAGAGAGCCAUCUUCGGCGACGAGAGAACUGGAACAAGGUGUACGAUGAAUUUUCUACGAGAUGUUUGAGAGCACUGCCAAUGAUUCAGCGUUUCUGACCGAUUGCUACAAGAGUGAGAGGGAGAGUAUCGAUAAUGCACGUGCCUCAUUUUACAUUGUUGCAUAUCUUGAUGGAGAACAUUCAAAGUUUCAUACUGCCUUCUUGGAAAUCAAUAAGAUUAGAGAGUACUUUGAGAUCUCCUUAAAUAACUUAAACUCAUUUCAUCUAUUUAAUGCUAAUAGAUAUAAAUGAUUAUACAUCUUAUUAAUCUCAGUUGGUAAUAUUCCUAAAUGUAAAGUAAAGGAUUAGGAAGAAGUUUAUGGAACCCAGUCACAUAUUCGAUAGCGUAGCUGUAGGCGCGAACCAGACAUAAUAAGGCAUUUGUAUGUUCAUCGUGAUUUUGAUAUUCGAGGUCCCGUCUUUUUAACCAUGCUUUUAAAUCAAGGAUCGAGAAUAGCAAAAAGAAGGAAGCUUUAAACGGGCAACGUAAAAUCAUCAAUAGUAACGUAGAAUCAGCGAGACAUCGUAAUUCAAUUAAAAAUGAAACAGAAAACAGUCGAUAACGGAGUACGUUAACAGAUUAAAAAGGUAUAGAGAAAUGUAGUCCUUUUUUUCGAAAAUGCAUGCGCUUAAAUGAAUCCAUCAAUUCUCUCUAGAAAUACGAUGAAAGCACGUGUACAGUAUACAGUGUACUACGUAUACGUCACGGGAGUAGAAAGAGAUGGAAAAAGAAAGAAAAAGAGAGACAGAGAGAUACAAAUCCAGUCGAUGGAAAUGUUACUGUAAAUCCGCGUCAAGAUCAGAGCUGACGUCAUCCUCUGACGCACCAUCAUCUGACAUACUCUGCAUUGUUCAGCGAACGUUCGAAAAUGUAUAUUUUCUAUUGGCAAAUACUGUUAUCGUUUUUCAAACGUCAAUAUUCAUCAGUUUCUAAUUAUCACAUCACCAAUUACUCAGUUUACAACCUACAAAUAAAAAAAUCGAUUAUCGAGUCAAAGGAAAUGUUAAAGGUCAAACAAAAAUCUAAAGUCAGAUGAAACAUUUGUUUUACAUUUUCUCAAUUCUUUCACUUUUUUAAUUACGUGUAAUUCUAACGUUAUGGAAUACUUGAUAUAUAAAAAAAAUGUAUAUAAAAAAAUUGAUAUAAUUUUUAAAAAAGAAGUUCAAUAUGGCUAAUUACACUUUAUCGCGGUAACUUCUUUAAUUUAAAAUUAAUUUCGGUAAUAUAAAAUUUCAAAUUAUCAAAAUAUCAAAUUAUGAUUCAUAAAAUAUAUAGGAAAAGUGAAAGGUGAUUAUAAGUUACUGUAUUUAAAUUAUGUUUGACGUCCAAAGAGAUUAAUUUAUUUAUCAAUUAUUAACUACAAUUAAAAUUGCAACCAUAUAUUAAUUGAUGCUGAAAGAUAAUAAAAUCCAAUUAAACUGAAUAAGAGCGUACAGGAAUUUGAUUAUCAAUCAUGUAAUACAUGUUACAGGAAAAUGGUAGUUUCGAUACGUGCUGCCAUCUUCGUAAUUGGUUGAUGCUUCUGGUAAGGCAGAGAACUGUACGUCAUUGUAAACAAUGACUUAGAUUCUACAUGAGAAUGAAUAGAACAUCUCGCGUUUGCGGACUCUGUAACAGGUGUUCCUGUUUCUGGAGGGGAGUUCGGACUGCUGGUUGCACAUCAGUGAUUUCUAUCUUCGACAUCAGACGUUGUCUUUUCGCUGCCAAAAUUGUACCCAGGAAACUGAAAUAUCGAGGUAAAGUAGGCAGGUGUGCUUCCUGCAGACGUACAAGUACAUAUACAUAAUAAGAAGAUAAUAUUCAAGCAUAGAGAAGGAGCAGCGAGCGUAAGAGUGUGAGUGAUCACGUCCUGUACUUUCCUAAGCACCUGCGGAGCCAGAACAGAUCCGGCAGGUGCAAAAAGGAUACGGGAAACCCCGAAGAACUUUAUGCAAUCCUCGUUGAACGGCUAUACUUUAUAAGUAGGUAUUAUAUUUCUAAGAAAAGCAUUAAAAAAAGAAAGCGAUAUGGCUCAAAGCGCGGAGGUUUAAAUGUUUAAAGCAAGCCUUCUGGUAUAGAGCGCGGCGAUUUUCCUGCCGUUUCCCUGGUAACUUUUGCGUCAGCCUUUAUCGCCGGAAAAAAACUCGUUAGCUUGGCGCGGCCUAGCUGGCCUGCUUCCAGAACAAACCGCCAGAGGUCCGGCGUUACGUGCGAACCGAGGCCGCGCCGAUGAAUUUGGUGACGUAAGAGAAUAAAACCACCAUAAAGGCUUGCUGGUUCAUUAGCGCAAACCGCGGAGCAUGGCAUCCUUGUAGAGAGAGCGAGGUUAUAAUCCAUAGUCUGAUCUCAGUGUAUCCACAGUACGUACCUUUAAAACGUGCGUUGCGUUGGCACAGAACUCCGACAUUCCACUAGACUUACUGACUAAAGGAUAGUAAAACGAUAAAACAUUUACGAUCACGGAAAGUUUUCAGAUCUAUUUCACCUAAUAUUUAUAUGUAUUUUAAACAUAGUUUUACAUUAAUUACAGAGAGACAAAAGAACACGAGAGUGAAAAAAAGAUUAGAUACAAUGUUUUAUAUAGGUUAAUGCAAGUAGAAAUUAUUUCAAAAAUUGUUCGUUGCAUUGUGUUACGCAUGCGCAGUAAUGCAGAGUCGCUGUUAUUACACGGUACAAAGAUUCGGUCGAUUAUCGGAAUUAAAUAUAUUUAUUAUUAUUAUUGAAUAUUUCACAGUAAAUGUUUCAAUUAAUAAUCACUAUGUAUUAAUUUGUACCGUCAGUAGAAUAUAUUAAUAUGCGUCAUUGACGUUCCUAUAUUUCUUUUUAUUUUUAAAUAUUUGAUACAUGCUACUGUAAUUGUUACAAGAGUAAAUUACUUUUCGAAACGCGUUUGGUUUUUGAAUUAUCGACAUGUAGUCCUCCGGUUGUUCAGUGCUGCAGCGAAACGCAGCAAUAAGGAGAGAUAAUAUACAUACUUGACUUCCACUCGAAGAGGUCGGGUAGAUAAGAGAAGAGUGAACCUGCGAAAUUGACUUUCGUAAUUACCGACCGAGAAUGCGCCAGUAUCCAAGAAGUCAUCUCGAAAAUCCAAUUAGUGGAGAACUGCUUAACGGAGCACCAGUCACUUAAAUUGUACUUUACCAAUUUCCUUUCUUAUUAGAGGAUCAAAUGGCAAAUGAAUGAAAUAAGCGUGGUAUGUGCAGUAUAAACACAAAAUUUAGCGAUUAUAUACAUCUUGCCUUGUGCAUGCUGCAAUUUGCAAAGAAUGAGAUACUGCCUCUACUUGCAAUUAUAUUUCUGGUAAAGAAGUUACGAGUUGGAAGUAUCUUAAAUAUUUCUAUAUUGCACUACAAGAAUUAAGCCAAAUUAACUUCUAAAAAAGUCUUGAACAUCAAGUAUCAAUUUCCAAUUUUAACUGAAUAGAAAUUACCACCAAGAAGUAUUCUGUAAGCUGUGGCAAGCAGUACAAUUUUUGGUCUCGAAAGAAAGUGCGCCACUGUUAUGCAAUUAAGAUUUUAAUAGAACUCUCAUGUCCGUGAAUCUCCGUUGGCCGCACCGAACACUGCAUCCCUCAAGGGGUUAAUUUCAUUUCGACUGUCUGGGCAACAUGUGAAUCGAAGGUGUGCAUCACGAAAGAACCUGCCACUGCACCAGCGUGUAUUGUUGUCGUCGACGUCGAAAGAGUUCAGUGUCAAACGUCAGCGAUUUGUUUUCAUGAUGCACGAACGCUAUGGUUGCACAACAACGAUUUAUCGCUGACGAAUGUUAUUGGCGACUCGUGAUCAGCGUGUACGCAAUAUCUUCACGGACGAGCCAUCGUAAUGCCGAGCGAGCCGAUUUUAAAAAUCAAUUCAUCUCCACGCGCCUGCGGCGCGCUAUUGAAUUCUUGCCUAUUCAUGAAGGGAUUCCCGGAGUUUCAUCUCGUGAAAAUGCAUGGAGUCCGACAAUUAACAUCGCAUCCAUUCACGUAAGCUCGGUGGCAUUACGGAAAGGAAAAAAAAUAAGCGUUCAUUCAUGAAAACUCUUAUCUGCGUAUACAUAGCCAUAGAUUACCAACCCCGUUUCAUUCACACGUUCGUAAAACAGGUUGAAUUUAUCGCUGACAUCUUCCCGUUGAAAAAAGGACCAUAUCAAUUUUACAAACCCCAUUAUUUUAUAUUUCAUCUUCUUCCAAUUUUUAUCCAAGAUACCAAGAAUUCCAAUUUUAUUACCACGAAUUACUGUAAAUUGACAAAAAUCAACGCAUUCGCUUCAAUUACUCUAAAAUAACAAGAAGAAAACCAUAGGAACUAAACUGAAGAACACUACCAUGUUACAACACCUUUAAUUGACUCAAAAAUGAUGGCAGUAAGGAAACCAUAGAAACCAAAUAGAAGCUAUAACAUCGUCAUUUCUUCAUCAUAACAAAUCCAAUCGAAUUCAUUUCACCAGUUAAUCCACAAACAUUUCUUUUAUCCAAAAAUGUCAUGGAAGAAACGGUAUCGAAAGAAACUAAGCAGGAGCAUCGUCGAAUCGACUCACGUGCACUGGAAUACAGGCGAGCUUCGAGUCAUAGUGCAGGAUAUAUGACGCAAAUCGAAUGCACGCGGUUCUGUUUACGUACGAGAUAAGAGUUUGUCCUGGGUCAAGGCUGCACGCAGUUUGAUAAUCCAAUUCAGAUAACGGGAACGUGCAUAGAGUUUGCUGGACCUUGAGUACAUACAUACAUAUAUAUACAUAUAACGACGGUGUACGCGAGAAAGAGAAACGUCCGAAGAGAAUACACACGAGGCAGCGCAAGGCAAGGCGAGUCUCAAUGACUCAUUUCGCGAGCAAUUUGUCAAAUCAUCCGCCCCUUCUCUCCCCUCAAAAGACCCGCCCUCGUUCCCUCUCCUUCAAACGGAAAGACUCACGUUUAUCGUGAAUAGUACGCCUAACGUGCGCACGUGACAUUUCGAGUAUCUCGAAUUAAACUGUAAACAUCGUAGUACAACCGACGGUUGAAGACCAGCCACGCGGACAGUGUCAAUGAUCCUACUAUUUAUUGGAUCGUUGCUUACGCACGGCGCCAUAUGUCUGUGGAUAUGUACGUGUACACAUCCGGCUAUAUGUGUGCGGGCAUCUCUCCUUCCUCGUCUCGCUUUUGUCAGUCGUGACCUCGAAGGUUAUUUCGUCUGUCUACCUCUUUAUCUUCUGAAUCUCCUUGCGAGACCCGAUUUUCGAAAUCUUUCAUUCAGAUGUUCUGC